ACUUCUCCAAGGUCUAUAAAACUUUAGUCCCUUAUUGUGCCACCUCACUGAAGUUUUAAGCUCUUUUGAAGAUUCAGAUAGAAGGUUUCUGCAAGCCUUGAUGGCGAGGUCCCAUGCCCUCUUGGCCUGGCUGAAUGAGUCCUCAGAGUUGCUAGAAGCUCCUGAGAACCAAAGCCUCUCAAUAUCAACCUUUACGCUCCUCACAAACUCCUCUCCACAGUUUCUGUCAAGAACCAGAAUGAACAUAAAGACAGCUCUGCUAAAAAGACCUGGCCAAAGACUUCAGCAGUCCCCUGUUGGUAGAAGAACUAAUAAUAAAUGCCAAUACUAUUGUAUGGCUACAUACAGUUCUGGGCCAAGUCACACAGGUGACAGUCUAGAUGGGAGUCUGACAUUCAGUCAGCAAACACACCGAUCCCAAGCCACGACAAGUCAACUGAGGAGCAAGUUUUUAAAAGAUUCUACAACUUUUGGAAGCAUCAGGAGCCAUAGAGUCAGGUGCCUUGGUGUGGUCCCAGUCCAUGGCUCACCAGCUAUGGUUCUCCAACAGGUAAUGAAGCUUCCAGUGCCUCUGCUACAACACUAAAUCCCACCUUACAUGAUGUGAAAUUAAUUAAAAUAAUAUUCAUGGAAUGGGGCAUAGCACACAGUUAGCACUCAGCAAAUGGUGACUAUUGUCAUUGUUCAUUUUCAAAACCACAUACUUACUGAAAUUUGGUUGAUUUAAAGUAAUGUAUGGUCAAAAAAAUUGAAAAGAAGAAAGAAAAGAAAUGUAAGCAGUAAGUAUUUCUUUUGCAUGUUUAUAUAUGGUAAUCUGAACAACUAAUUUAAAGACAACAAUGUGCAGUACAUCAACCAUUGUUGAAUUCCUAUCAUCUUGUUUAGUGAAAUUCUGUAUCAUUUCUAAUUUUUUUUAUUAUUUUGUAUCCUCUAAAAUAAAACAUAACUAAAUAAUGUGUGAUCGCAUGUACUCUUUCACACAUAAUUUUCCUCAAAUGUCUAUCUGGGAAAUUAUCCAUAAUAAUUUUAUUAGUUGGAAUAUUGGCUAGUUUUUCUCUCCACUAUCUCUAUAUGUUUAAGUUUAUGUGUUCAUAUACAGGUUUCUGCCUUACCUGUAUAUUAUUAUAUUCUGUAUUUUGCAUUUACAACCAAAAACUAUGACCAGCACAGUGAACUUUAUGUUUACUUCAAAAAAAAAAGUUUGAGUUCAAUAUUUAAUAUUUUAUACCUCACUAUGCAAACAAUGUUUUUAUGAUGUGCAGUGUGGAUUUAUGUUUUCUUUAUCUAGUUAACUGUUUGAUGAUGACUAUAAUUAUCAUUUUUAAAUUUCCAGCUGCAUAAGUUUUACCCUAACUCUACUAUCUCAUUUGGAGAAAAGGUGAUGGCCCAAAAAGAAAAUAAAAACAGAAAUGAGAAUUAGAAAGGGAAGGAAAAAACUCUGAACAAAUAGUCAUUCUCUUGGGGCUGGGGAUUUAGCUCGGCAGCACAUCGCCUGCCUGGCAAGUGAAAGGUCGUGAGUUCGAUUCUUGGUACUGGAAAAAGAAAAACAAAAAAAAAAAAAAAAAUAGUCAUUCUCAGAGGUUAAACCAUCUCAUUAGAACAAGACAUUUUUAGGAAUAAAACAUUAAUUCAUUUUUGAAUGAAGAAUCUCUCAGUUUAGUAAAAUACUAUAUUUUAAGGAAAACAAUACAACAAUAUUUUCACUAAGAGAAAUAAACAAAUACAGUAUCAGAUUUUCAAAAGAGUUAGCAUAAUAAAACAAAAUGGAAUAAAAUCCAUCAACAAUAGAAAUUAUACAGUCACUGGCUCUUUUUCAUUCUAAAAGUCAGUCUUGUAAGCUUGGGAAAUUUCAAUCUAAUGUCACAAUUUCACAUCUUGACAAUAAUAACAUUGAGGGCUCUCUAAAAUUUUUAAUUUAGCUUUUGUUUUUAUUUUGAACAAUUUACAUUGAGUCUCCAUAAUUUUUUUUUUUUUUUUUUUUUUUUUUUUUUUGUACCAGGAAUUGAGCUCAGGACCUUGUGCUUGCCAGGCAAGUGCUGUGCCACUGAGGUAUAGCCCUAGUCCUCCAUAAUUCUUAUUAGUGUCUUGCUAUAAAUAAUAUCUUCAGUGGAUUUAUCAGCUGGAUUUUAAUAGAACAUGACUAUCAAACUGGACAAUAUUUGAAACUAUGCAAAAUCAAGGUGAUGAUGCUGAGAUCUUUUCCCAAAUGUUAAAUUAUUUUAUGAAAUAGCUACAUGUUACAAAAAGAAGUGGCAAUUUGAUAGCUUUUUAUGUGUCCCCUAGUAAUCAGGUUGGCUUUAUGAAUAAACUUCUAUCUACCACAAAAGUGAUAACCACAUCUGUUUAAAUUAAUACCUCUGUGUCUAACAUUUUCUUUUCAUGAAUCUUAUUAUAUCUUAAACUAUUCACUUAUCUCAGAUGAAUACAGGAACUGACAUGUGAUUCUAGAUUUAUAAGAGAUAUAUUUAAGAGGACAGAGGGUUUUUCUUUUUGUGGGAUCUAAAACUGACUUGAAAGCAGAUAUGAACUCAAAACACUCCCUUGCAUUCAGAUAUACAAAGUAUCUCUUACAUUUUCAGAAGUGUCUAUCAUGUCAAACAGCUGUACUACAACAUCAGAUUUAUAAGUAGAUGUUUUUAAUUAAGAACAAUAGAUCUGAAGCAUCAAGGAUCCCCACAUCAAAGCUUUUCAACAAUAAAAUCUUUCUCUAGCUACUUGACAUAUAUAUUGUUCACAUUUUGAAAGCAUUUCCAUAUUUUAACCACUUAUAUUUACAUCUGAC
Long non-coding RNA from Chinchilla lanigera (long-tailed chinchilla), 2782 nucleotides. Ensembl lists it as uncharacterized. The record is from Ensembl. NCBI's taxonomy places the organism in Eukaryota, Metazoa, Chordata, Mammalia, Rodentia, Chinchillidae.